UCCUCCCUCUUUCUUCGUGCUUCCCCCCUGCACGUCGACCGGAAAGGCCCUGCUUUUGUGGGGUGCUCGAGUGGGGAACGGGUGAGUAACACGUGAGUAACCUGACCUUCACUUUGGGAUAACUUCAGGAAACGAGGGCUAAUACCGUAUAGGAUCUCCUGUUGCAGGGUGGGGGUGGGAAAGUUUCAGCGGUUGGGGAUGGAUUCGCGGCUGACCAGUUAGUUGGUGGGGUAGUGGCAUACCAAGGCUUUGAAGGGUAGCCGGCCUGUGAGGGUGACCGGCCACAUUGGGCCUGAGAUACGGCCCAGACUCCUAUAGGAGGCAGCAGUGGGGAAUAUUGCACAAUGGGCGGGAGCCGGAUGCAGCGACGCCGCGUGCGUGAUGCCGCUCGUCGGGUUGUAAAAAGCUUUCGCCUGUGACGACGCGUGACUGACGGUAAUGGGUAAAGAAGCACCGGCUAACUACGUG
This 468-nucleotide ribosomal RNA is filed under the name uncultured bacterium. RNAcentral describes it as "partial 16S ribosomal RNA". It matches the Rfam family "Bacterial small subunit ribosomal RNA", at positions 36 to 507 of the family's 1533-position model. The record is from RNAcentral.